CCUACGGGUGGCAGCAGUGGGGGAUAUUGCACAAUGGGGGGAACCCUGAUGCAGCGACGCCGCGUGGGUGAAGAAGGGCCUCGGCGCGUAAAGCCCUGUCAGCAGGGAAGAAAAUGACGGUCCCUGAAGAAGAAGCCCCGGCUAACUACGUGCCAGCAGCCGCGGUAAUACGUAGGGGGCAAGCGUUAUCCGGAUGUACUGGGGGGAAAGGGGGCGGAGACGGCGGUGCAAGCCAGGAGUGAACGCCCGGGGCCCAACCCCGGGCAGGCUUUUGGAACUGCGUGGCUGGAGGGCAGGAGGGGCAGGCGGAAUUCCUGGUGUAGCGGUGAAAUGCGUAGAUAUCAGGAAGAACACCAGUGGCGAAGGCGGCCGGCUGGACUGCAACUGACGUUGAGGCACGAAAGCGUGGGGAGCAAACAGGAUUAGAUACCCUUGUAGUC
This 440-nucleotide ribosomal RNA is filed under the name uncultured bacterium. RNAcentral describes it as "partial 16S ribosomal RNA". It matches the Rfam family "Bacterial small subunit ribosomal RNA", at positions 338 to 795 of the family's 1533-position model. The record is from RNAcentral.